ACUCAAAUGAAUAGACGGGGGCCCGCACAAGCAGCGGAGCAUGUGGUUUAAUUCGAAGCAACGCGAAGAACCUUACCUAGACUUGACAUCUCCUGAAUUACCCUUAAUCGGGGAAGCCCUUCGGGGCAGGAAGACAGGUGGUGCAUGGUUGUCGUCAGCUCGUGUCGUGAGAUGUUGGGUUAAGUCCCGCAACGAGCGCAACCCUUAUCAUUAGUUGCUACCAUUAAGUUGAGCACUCUAGUGAGACUGCCACGGUUAACGUGGAGGAAGGUGGGGAUGACGUCAAAUCAUCAUGCCCCUUAUGUCUAGGGCUACACACGUGCUACAAUGGUGAAUACAAAUAGAUGCAAUACCGCGAGGUGGAGCCAAACUAUAAAAUUCAUCCCAGUUCGGAUUGUAGUCUGAAACUCGACUACAUGAAGCCGGAGUUGCUAGUAAUCGCGAAUCAGCAUGUCGCGGUGAAUACGUUCCCGGGCCUUGUACACACCGCCCGU
RNAcentral lists this ribosomal RNA (494 nucleotides) under uncultured bacterium. RNAcentral's name for it is "partial 16S ribosomal RNA". It matches the Rfam family "Bacterial small subunit ribosomal RNA", at positions 899 to 1397 of the family's 1533-position model. The record is from RNAcentral.